CCUACGGGUGGCUGCAGUGGGGAAUAUUGGACAAUGGGGGGAACCCUGAUCCAGCCAUGCCGCGUGUGUGAAGAAGGCCCUCGGGUUGUAAAGCACUUUCAGUGAGGAAGAACGCCUGGUGGUUAAUACCCAUCAGGAAAGACAUCACUCACAGAAGAAGCACCGGCUAACUCCGUGCCAGCAGCCGCGGUAAUACGGAGGGUGCGAGCGUUAAUCGGAAUUACUGGGCGUAAAGCGCGCGUAGGUGGCUUGAUAAGCCGGUUGUGAAAGCCCCGGGCUCAACCUGGGAACGGCAUCCGGAACUGUCCAGCUAGAGUGCAGGAGAGGAAGGUAGAAUUCCCGGUGUAGCGGUGAAAUGCGUAGAGAUCGGGAGGAAUACCAGUGGCGAAGGCGGCCUUCUGGACUGACACUGACACUGAGGUGCGAAAGCGUGGGUAGCAAACAGGAUUAGAUACCCGAGUAGUC
RNAcentral lists this ribosomal RNA (465 nucleotides) under Vreelandella stevensii. Its description in RNAcentral is "partial 16S ribosomal RNA". It matches the Rfam family "Bacterial small subunit ribosomal RNA", at positions 338 to 795 of the family's 1533-position model. The record is from RNAcentral. Lineage: Bacteria; Pseudomonadati; Pseudomonadota; Gammaproteobacteria; Oceanospirillales; Halomonadaceae.